This 122-nucleotide small nucleolar RNA is filed under the name Moschus moschiferus (Siberian musk deer). RNAcentral describes it as "Small nucleolar RNA SNORA70 (ENSMMSG00000004213.1)". It matches the Rfam family "Small nucleolar RNA SNORA70". From Rfam's summary of the family: snoRNA U70 seems to be exclusive to mammals and is a member of the H/ACA class of snoRNA which contain H (ANANNA) and ACA box motifs. H/ACA box snoRNAs are involved in the conversion of uridines to pseudouridines (5-ribosyluracil) a constituent of structural RNAs (transfer, ribosomal, small nuclear, and small nucleolar). The record is from Rfam by way of RNAcentral. Lineage: Eukaryota; Metazoa; Chordata; Mammalia; Artiodactyla; Moschidae.
UUGCAGUCAAUUAAGCCGACUGUGCUCUUUUCCCCAUGGGGGCCAAGCGUGCAAUGGCCCCCUUGGUAGUGUAGGCAGCCUGUUGUCUGUACAGGUUGCCCUAAGGGAUCUUGGAGACAGUA